GACGAAGGUGGCAAGCGUUACUCGGAAUUACUAGGCGUAAAGGGCAGGUAGGCGGUCCGGUAAGUCUAUUGUGAAAGCUCCCGGCUUAACUGGGAGAGGCCAAUGGAUACUACCGGGCUUGAGUGUGUGAGAGGGUGCUGGAAUUCCCGGUGUAGCGGUGAAAUGCGUAGAGAUCGGGAGGAACACCUAUGGCGAAAGCAGGCACCUGGCACAUUACUGACGCUGAGCUGCGAAAGCUAGGGGAGCAAACAGG
This 253-nucleotide ribosomal RNA is filed under the name uncultured bacterium. Its description in RNAcentral is "partial 16S ribosomal RNA". It matches the Rfam family "Bacterial small subunit ribosomal RNA", at positions 524 to 776 of the family's 1533-position model. The record is from RNAcentral.